AAAAAGGGAAUAACAUCAGAAGUUUCACAGAGCUUUAAACAUAUGCAACUAUCAAACAACAAGACAAAGCAGAGUAAAAUAUAUUCAUGUGGAAAAUUUAAUGGAAAGAGGAGGGAUUCACUGAAUACCUCAAGGGCAGUAGGAUGAUUUGAUGACACAGUCUCACUAGCGAUGGAUGGAGAUGAUUGAUCAAGCAAGAACUCAAAGGAAGAAGCAAUUAUUAUGAUACUUGUAAGUUAAGUUAAAUAAACAGAUUCAAAGAAGUAAAGAAAAAGGGUGGACAAGUAAGUGAAGGAAUGGUAUGGUUGGCAACAACUUAAAAAGGGUCUCAAAACAAGCUGGAGAAAGUAGAACCACACUCCCAAAAAUCUACCUUACAGCAACCCCAUCUCACCUUUUCAUACAUACAGAAAAUAAGAAAACAGGGUGGACUCACGUCCACUUGACGGAUGAUCUGUCAGCAUUUGGUGGAAUUACUAACUAAUCCACCAAGAUUCAAUUUUUAAAUACUAUAUGGAAAGAGAUUUUAACACUUGAAAAGGCAAUUACGCCCAUUAAAUCUGAAUAAGAUUAUGAGAACAUGAAAAUGAAGUUAGUGUUGUCAAGUUAGGGACUGUCAAUGCCACUGAGACAAAAACGAUUGAUGGGGGACCAUUCCAGAGGUUUAUAACGGCGUAAUAUCAUUUUUGCAAACUGUUGUCUACUUUGUCC
This 711-nucleotide long non-coding RNA is filed under the name Nicotiana benthamiana. RNAcentral describes it as "long non-coding RNA (NBEN_LNC019893)". Lineage: Eukaryota; Viridiplantae; Streptophyta; Magnoliopsida; Solanales; Solanaceae. The record is from RNAcentral.